GAAAUGCGAUACGUAAUGUGAAUUGCAGAAUUCCGUGAAUCAUCGAGUUUUUGAACGCAAGUUGCGCCCGAGGCUUGUUCCGAGGGCAUGUCUGCCUGAGCGUCAACGACCCCCUCACCCUCGCCCCAUCCGUGGGAAUCGAGGCGUGCAACUGGCCGUCCCCGGCUCGCGCCGCGGUCGGCCGAAAUGCAAGCGCCCGCGCGAAUGGCUCCUUUGGCGCCGCGGCAAGGUGGUCCGUCCUCAUACGUCGGAAUCGUCCCGCGGCCGGAGCCGCGCACGCGGCAAGGAAAAGAUGCAGCAGCUGGGCGGCGAGGUAGGGCUUCGGGGACUCGUUCUCGAUCCCGCCGCGCUCCCUCGGUUGGACCUCAGAUCAGGCAAGGCUACCCGCUGAGUUUAA
RNAcentral lists this ribosomal RNA (397 nucleotides) under Huperzia arctica. RNAcentral's name for it is "eukaryotic LSU rRNA". The stretch from base 1 to 105 matches the Rfam family "5.8S ribosomal RNA", at positions 50 to 154 of the family's 154-position model. Lineage: Eukaryota; Viridiplantae; Streptophyta; Lycopodiopsida; Lycopodiales; Lycopodiaceae. The record is from RNAcentral.